UUAGAAAAAAGAGUAGGUAUGUAUGUGUUUUAAGACUUUGAUGCUUUCAUGUUGUCCUUGAAAUUCCAACUAUUAUACAAAAUGAAUGAUGGCAGGUAUAUAGUAUGUUUUUAGAAUACUGUAUUAUAAUUUCUAAAACUUUAAAAGAUCACACUUCAGAAACUCAAAACCAUUUAUAGGAAAUCAGUUUUCCUGAUUCAUAGCAUUUUGGAGUUAAAGAGAAGACUAAAAAUUACUUGCUCUUGUGAUGGUGGUUAGAUGACUAUAUAUGUCAGAACUCAUUGAACCAUACACUUAAAUAUUUUUGGUAUAUAAAUUAUAUGUCUAUAAAGAGCUCAUUUUUUUUUUUUUUUUGAGACAGAUUCUCUCUGUGUUGCCCAGGCAGAGGUUGCAGUGAGCUGAGAUUGUGCCACUGCACUCCAGCAUGGGCAGCAGAGCCAGAGCAUGUCUCAAAAGAAAAAAAAAA
This 466-nucleotide small RNA is filed under the name Pongo abelii (Sumatran orangutan). RNAcentral's name for it is "processed transcript". Lineage: Eukaryota; Metazoa; Chordata; Mammalia; Primates; Hominidae. The record is from RNAcentral.